RNAcentral lists this ribosomal RNA (149 nucleotides) under Leptolyngbya sp. PCC 73110. RNAcentral's name for it is "partial 16S ribosomal RNA". It matches the Rfam family "Bacterial small subunit ribosomal RNA", at positions 1387 to 1533 of the family's 1533-position model. The record is from RNAcentral. Lineage: Bacteria; Bacillati; Cyanobacteriota; Cyanophyceae; Leptolyngbyales; Leptolyngbyaceae.
ACACCGCCCGUCACACCAUGGGAGUUGGUCACGCCCGAAGUCGUUACUCUAACUGCUUGCAGAGGAGGACGCCGAAGGUGGGGCUGAUGACUGGGGUGAAGUCGUAACAAGGUAGCCGUACCGGAAGGUGUGGCUGGAUCACCUCCUUA